AAAAAAGUAAGAAAGGGCGUAUGGCGGAUGCCUAGGCUCACAGAGGCGAUGAAGGACGUGAUAAGCUGCGAUAAGCUUCGGGUAGGUGCAAAUAACCUUUGAUCCGAGGAUUUCCGAAUGGGACAACCCAUACAUUUGAAGAAUGUAUAUCUCUACCUAAGGUAGAGAGGCAAACCGAGGGAACUGAAACAUCUUAGUACCUCGAGGAAGAGAAAAUAAAUAAUGAUUCCCCCAGUAGUGGCGAGCGACCGGGGAAGAGCCCAAACCGUCGUUGUUUCGGCAUCGGCGGGGUAGUAGGACCGCGAUAUUGUAUGUGUUUUGUGAGUAGAAUGUUCUGGAAAGAACAACCAUAGGAGGUGAAAGUCCUGUAUACGAAGCAAAACAUGGCAUAGCGGUAUCCUGAGUAGCGCGGAGCACGAGGAAUUCUGCGUGAAUCAGCCGGGACCAUCCGGUAAGGCUAAAUACUCCUGUGAGACCGAUAGUGAACGAGUACUGUGAAGGAAAGGUGAAAAGCACUCCGAUGAGGAGAGUGAAAUAGUUCCUGAAACCAUACGCCUACAAGCGGUCGGAGCUCAGCAAUGAGUGACGGCGUGCCUUUUGCAUAAUGAACCUACGAGUUACCGUCUCUGGCAAGGUUUAGUAUCUCAGAUACGUAUCCGCAGUGAAAGCGAGCCUGAAAUGGGCGUAUAGUCAGAGGGGGUAGACGCGAAACCAAGUGAUCUACACUUGGCCAGGUUGAAGUUCCGGUAACACGGAAUGGAGGACCGAACGGAUAAGCGUUGAAAAGCUUCCCGAUGAGCCGAGUGUAGGAGUGAAAGGCCAAUCAAACUUGGAGAUAGCUCGUACUCCCCGAAAUGCAUUUAGGUGCAGCGUGUAUCGAUCCGCAUGAGAGGUAGAGCGACCGAUAGGUCAAGAGGGCUUCACCGCCUAUCGAGACCUGACGAACUCCGAAUGCUCAUGCGCCGCAGAUAUGCAGUAAGGGGGCGGGUGCUAAGGUCCGUCCCCGAGAGGAGAAGAAUCCAGACCGCCAACUAAGGCCCCGAAAUUCUGUCUGAGUUAGUCUAACGAAGUCUGGUCCCUAUGACAGCUAGGAUGUUGGCUUGGAAGCAGCCAUUCAUUCAAAGAGUGCGUAACAGCUCACUAGUCGAGGGUCCGGGCAUGGAUAAUAAUCGGGUAUAAGGCAGAUGCCGAAGUUGCGGGAUAGUAAUAAUAAAAGUAUCGGUAGGGGAGCAUUCCAUCGGCGCAGAAUGCAAAGGAUGACCUUUGCUGGAGCUUAUGGAAAAGCAAAUGUAGGUAUAAGUAACGAUAAAAGGGGUUAGAUUCCCCUUCGCCGCAAGACCAAGGUUUCCCGGGCAAUGCCAAUCAGCCCGGGGUUAGUCAGGUCCUAAGUCUCAGCCGAACGGCGAUGGCGAUGGCAGAAACGGUUAAUAUUCCGUUACUGCCGCAUGGAGUGAUGUGGAGACGGAGCAGUGACACUACCGCGGAGAUACGGAAUUCUCCGUUGAAGGGUGUAGGCGCAGAUCGAGGCAGGCAAAUCCACCUUGAGAGCCGAACCUGAUAGUAUGGAGUCUUCUUCGGAAGAGUCCAAUAGCGUAGGUAAUCAUACUUCCUAGAAAAUCCGCUAAACUUAAUCCAUGCGGCACCUGUACCGCAAACGGACACACGUGGUCGGGUAGAACAUACUAAGGCGUUGAGAGAUUCUUGGUUAAGGAACUAGGCAAAUUGACCCUGUAACUUCGGGAUAAAGGGUCCUCACAGUAAUGUGAGGCGCAGAGAAUAGGUCCAGGCAACUGUUUAACAAAAACACAGGGCUGUGCAAACUCGAAAGAUGACGUAUACAGCCUGACACCUGCCCGGUGCCGGAAGGUUAAGAGGAGAAGUCAGUAGCAAUAUGAAGCUUUGAAUUGAAGCCCCGGUAAACGGCGGCCGUAACUAUAACGGUCCUAAGGUAGCGAAAUUCCUUGUCGGGUAAGUUCCGACCUGCACGAAUGGUGUAAUGAUCCGGACGCUGUCUCAACCAAGAGCUCAGUGAAAUUGUAGUAUCGGUGAAGAUGCCGAUUACCCGCGAUGGGACGAAAAGACCCCGUGAACCUUUACUACAGCUUAGCAUUGACUUUGGUCAUCCGAUGUGUAGGAUAGGCCGGAGGCUUUGAAGCAGGCACGCCAGUGUUUGUGGAGCCAUCCUUGAAAUACGGCCCUUUGGCUGUCUGAAGUCUAACGCGCUCUGCGCGACAUUGCUUGGUGGGUAGUUUGACUGGGGUGGUCGCCUCCAAAAGCGUAACGGAGGCUUCCAAAGGUGCCCUCGGACCGAUUGGUAACCGGUCUCAUAGAGUGUAAUGGCAUAAGGGCGCUUGACUGGGAGGGAGACAUCCCGAGCAGGCAGGAAACUGGGGCAUAGUGAUCCGGCGGAUGUGUAUGGAAACUCCGUCGCUCAAAGGAUAAAAGGUACUCCGGGGAUAACAGGCUGAUCCCCCCCCAAGAGCUCAUAUCGACGGGGUGGUUUGGCACCUCGAUGUCGGCUCGUCACAUCCUGGGGCUGGAGAAGGUCCCAAGGGUUGGGCUGUUCGCCCAUUAAAGUGGCACGCGAGCUGGGUUCAGAACGUCGUGAGACAGUUCGGUCUCUAUCUAUCGUGGGCGCGGGAGUUUUGAGUGGACACGUCACUAGUACGAGAGGACCGUGACGUACAGACCUCCGGUUUACCAGUUGUUCCGCCAGGUGCACUGCUGGGUAUCUGAGUCUGGCCGGGAUAAGCGCUGAAAGCAUCUAAGUGCGAAGCCCUCCGCAAGAUUAGAACUCCAUUGAGGGCCGUCGAAGACGACGACGUUGAUAGGAUGCAGGUGUAAAGACGGUGACGUCAAAGCCGAGCAUUACUAAUUGCCCGAAACUUUUUUCG
Molecule: ribosomal RNA, 2894 nt
Filed under: Segatella baroniae B14
Lineage: Bacteria; Pseudomonadati; Bacteroidota; Bacteroidia; Bacteroidales; Prevotellaceae
Description: Prevotella bryantii B14 Bacterial large subunit ribosomal RNA
Rfam family: Bacterial large subunit ribosomal RNA
Source: Rfam by way of RNAcentral